RNAcentral lists this ribosomal RNA (453 nucleotides) under uncultured bacterium. Its description in RNAcentral is "bacterial SSU rRNA". It matches the Rfam family "Bacterial small subunit ribosomal RNA", at positions 340 to 786 of the family's 1533-position model. The record is from RNAcentral.
UACGGAAGGCAGCAGUGGGGAAUAUUGCACAAUGGGCGCAAGCCUGAUGCAGCCAUGCCGCGUGUAUGAAGAAGGCCUUCGGGUUGUAAAGUACUUUCAGUCGUGAGGAAGGUGUUAAGGUUAAUAACCUUAGCAAUUGACGUUAGCGACAGAAGAAGCACCGGCUAACUCCGUGCCAGCAGCCGCGGUAAUACGGAGGGUGCGAGCGUUAAUCGGAAUUACUGGGCGUAAAGGGCACGCAGGCGGUUAAUUAAGUUGGAUGUGAAAUCCCCGGGCUUAACCUGGGAAUGGCAUUCAAGACUGGUUAGCUAGAGUCUUGUAGAGGGGGUAGAAUUCCAUGUGUAGCGGUGAAAUGCGUAGAGAUGUGGAGGAAUACCGGUGGCGAAGGCGGCCCCUGGACAAAGACUGACGCUCAUGUGCGAAAACGUGGGGAGCAAACAGGGAUUAGAUACC